RNAcentral lists this ribosomal RNA (342 nucleotides) under Triticum aestivum (bread wheat). Its description in RNAcentral is "partial small subunit ribosomal RNA". Lineage: Eukaryota; Viridiplantae; Streptophyta; Magnoliopsida; Poales; Poaceae. The record is from RNAcentral.
AUGCAUUCCGCACGAGCGAAACUGUACGUACUUAGUAACAUGCAUCUCACCCAUUCAGGAGGGUACGGGACGCUGGAGGAGCUGCUGGAGGUGAUCACGUGGGCGCAGCUAGGAAUCCAUCACAAGCCGGUUGGUCUGCUGAACGUGGAGGGGUACUACGACUCGCUGCUCACCUUCAUCGACCAGGCCGUGGAGGAAGGCUUCAUCAACCCCGCCGCCCGCCGCAUCAUCGUCUCCGCCCCCACCGCCCACAAGCUCAUGGAGAAGCUCGAGAAGUACGUGCCUUACUACGACAUGGUCGCGACCGGGCUGGACUGGGAGACGGAUCGCCUAGAGUUCUGA